UCCUUUCUCAUUCUUCUUCUCUUAUUUUCCUUUCUUUUUCUUUUCCUUUUUUUUUUCUUUCCAUUUCUUCAUCGACUCCACCACCACCAAGUUGUCAUCGGCGGUGCUACUACUCGCACCACUUCCAAUCGUCAUCCCCCUCACUCUCCGACUAUAUAUUCCCUAUUUUUAUCUCUUUUAAGUUUUUAUUUUAUUAUUUUAUUUUAUUUAUUUAUUUUUACCUUUUUUUUUCUUCUUCUUUUAUUUUCUUUUAUGCACUGCCACAAACGUGCCCAUGUCUUCAUUAUCACUCCCCAUGACCAUCGAUUGUUGCAUCUCUAUUCGUGGGUUAGGAGAUAGAGCGGGAAUAGAGGUGUAGCGUUAGUUGGAGCAAUUGGAGGCAAGGCAUGAGCAUGGACAGAAAGUUGGUGAACCUGAUUUGGGGAUAAAGGGACCAUCUUGCAACCAAAGAAAGGGAGGAGGGAAGGACGGUUAAGGAGGACGACUCUUUGGAUUUUUCUAGAAAAACUCUAUUUGUAUUUCUUUGCUUUUUUUUUUUUAUUUUAUUUUUAUUUUUUUAUUUUUUUUUAUGAGAGGUUUGACAUGUUUGUGGGUAUUUCUAAGCUUUGUUGAUGAAGCUGUGGAGAGCCAUUAGAUUUGGGUUGCACUGAAAAUAAUAUCCUUUUAAUUUCUCAAA
Long non-coding RNA from Vitis riparia (riverbank grape), 676 nucleotides. RefSeq lists it as uncharacterized. The transcript is spliced from 2 exons. Lineage: Eukaryota; Viridiplantae; Streptophyta; Magnoliopsida; Vitales; Vitaceae. The record is from RefSeq and is a predicted model, not a curated record.